Molecule: ribosomal RNA, 827 nt
Filed under: uncultured organism
Description: bacterial SSU rRNA
Rfam family: Bacterial small subunit ribosomal RNA
Source: RNAcentral
GCUAACUACGUGCCAGCAGCCGCGGUAAUACGUAGGGGGCAAACGUUGUCCGGAUUUACUGGGUGUAAAGGGCGCGCAGGCGGGUCGGUCAGUCAGAGGUGAAAGCCCACAGCUUAACUGUGGAACUGCCUUUGAUACUGCCGAUCUUGAGUGCGGGAGAGAGAAGCGGAAUUCCAGGUGUAGCGGUGAAAUACGUAGAUAUCUGGAAGAACACCGGUUGCGAAGGCGGCUUCUUGGACCGACACUGACGCUGAGGCGCGAAAGCGUGGGGAGCGAACAGGAUUAGAUACCCUGGUAGUCCACGCUGUAAACGAUGAAUGUUAGAUGUCGGGGGAUUUUUCCUUCGGCGUCAAAGUUAACGCAUUAAACAUUCCACCUGGGAAGUACGAUCGCAAGGUUGAAACUCAAAGGAAUUGACGGGGGCCCGCACAAGCAGUGGAGCAUGUGGUUUAAUUCGAUGCAACGCGAAGAACCUUACCUAGGCUUGAAAUGUGUUCGAUCGGUCGUGAAAGCGACCUUCCUUCGGGCGGACACACAGGUGCUGCAUGGCUGUCGUCAGCUCGUGCCGCGAGGUGUUGGGUUAAGUCCCGCAACGAGCGCAACCCCUACCAUUAGUUGCCACCGGGUAAUGCCGAGCACUCUAAUGGAACUGCCUACGCAAGUAGUGAGGAAGGUGGGGGCGACGUCAAGUCCGCAUGGCCCUUACGCCUAGGGCUACACACGUGCUACAAUGGGCGCAACAAUGGGCAGCGAUACCGCGAGGUGGAGCGAAUCCCUAAAAAGCGUCCUCAGUUCGGAUUGGAGUCUGCAACUCGACUUCAUGAAGU